Molecule: ribosomal RNA, 468 nt
Filed under: uncultured bacterium
Lineage: Bacteria
Description: partial 16S ribosomal RNA
Rfam family: Bacterial small subunit ribosomal RNA
Source: RNAcentral
GACGAACGCUGGCGGCGUGCUUAACACAUGCGAGUCGAACGGAAAGGCCCUGCUUUUGUGGGGUGCUCGAGUGGCGAACGGGUGAGUAACACGUGAGUAACCUGCCCUUGACUUUGGGAUAACUUCAGGAAACUGGGGCUAAUACCGGAUAGGAGCUCCUGCUGCAUGGUGGGGGUUGGAAAGUUUCGGCGGUUGGGGAUGGACUCGCGGCUUAUCAGCUUGUUGGUGGGGUAGUGGCUUACCAAGGCUUUGACGGGUAGCCGGCCUGAGAGGGUGACCGGCCACAUUGGGACUGAGAUACGGCCCAGACUCCUACGGGAGGCAGCAGUGGGGAAUAUUGCACAAUGGGCGGAAGCCUGAUGCAGCAACGCCGCGUGCGGGAUGACGGCCUUUGGGUUGUAAACCGCUUUCGCCUGUGACGAAGCGUGAGUGACGGUAAUGGGUAAAGAAGCACCGGCUAACUACGUG